UACGUAGGGUGCAAGCGUUGUCCGGAAUUAUUGGGCGUAAAGAGUUCGUAGGCGGUUUGUCGCGUCUGCUGUGAAAACUCAGGGCUUAACCCUGAGCCUGCAGUGGGUACGGGCAGACUAGAGUGUGGUAGGGGAGAUCGGAAUUCCUGGUGUAGCGGUGGAAUGCGCAGAUAUCAGGAGGAACACCGGUGGCGAAGGCGGAUCUCUGGGCCAUAACUGACGCUGAGGAACGAAAGCAUGGGGAGCGAACAGG
This 253-nucleotide ribosomal RNA is filed under the name uncultured bacterium. RNAcentral's name for it is "partial 16S ribosomal RNA". It matches the Rfam family "Bacterial small subunit ribosomal RNA", at positions 524 to 776 of the family's 1533-position model. The record is from RNAcentral.